UUCCGGUUGAUCCCGCCGGACCUGACUGCUAUCGGAUUGAUACUAAGCCAUGCGAGUCAUUGUAGCAAUACAAGGCAGACGGCUCAGUAACGCGUAGUCAACCUAACCUAUGGACGGGAAUAACCUCGGGAAACUGAGAAUAAUGCCCGAUAGAACACUAUACCUGGAAUGGUUUGUGUUCCAAAUGAUUUAUCGCCGUAGGAUGGGACUGCGGCCUAUCAGUUUGUUGGUGAGGUAAUGACCCACCAAGACUAUUACAGGUACGGGCUCUGAGAGGAGUAGCCCGGAGAUGGGUACUGAGACACGGACCCAGGCCCUAUGGGGCGCAGCAGGCGAGAAAACUUUGCAAUGUGCGAA
RNAcentral lists this ribosomal RNA (357 nucleotides) under uncultured archaeon. Its description in RNAcentral is "bacterial SSU rRNA". It matches the Rfam family "Archaeal small subunit ribosomal RNA", at positions 1 to 363 of the family's 1478-position model. The record is from RNAcentral.